This 307-nucleotide ribosomal RNA is filed under the name uncultured Pseudomonas sp. Its description in RNAcentral is "bacterial SSU rRNA". It matches the Rfam family "Bacterial small subunit ribosomal RNA", at positions 1077 to 1382 of the family's 1533-position model. Lineage: Bacteria; Pseudomonadati; Pseudomonadota; Gammaproteobacteria; Pseudomonadales; Pseudomonadaceae. The record is from RNAcentral.
GGGUUAAGUCCCGUAACGAGCGCAACCCUUGUCCUUAGUUACCAGCACGUUAUGGUGGGCACUCUAAGGAGACUGCCGGUGGACAAACCGGAGGAAGGUGGGGAUGACGUCAAGUCAUCAUGGCCCUUACGGCCUGGGCUACACACGUGCUACAAUGGUCGGUACAAAGGGUUGCCAAGCCGCGAGGUGGAGCUAAUCCCAUAAAACCGAUCGUAGUCCGGAUCGCAGUCUGCAACUCGACUGCGUGAAGUCGGAAUCGCUAGUAAUCGUGAAUCAGAAUGUCACGGUGAAUACGUUCCCGGGCCUU